CCUGGCGGCACUAGCGCGGUGGUCCCACCUGACCCCAUACCGAACUCAGAAGUGAAACGCCGUAGCGCCGAUGGUAGUGUGGGGUCUCCCCAUGCGAGAGUAGGGAACUGCCAGGC
RNAcentral lists this ribosomal RNA (116 nucleotides) under Salmonella enterica subsp. enterica serovar Infantis. Lineage: Bacteria; Pseudomonadati; Pseudomonadota; Gammaproteobacteria; Enterobacterales; Enterobacteriaceae. RNAcentral also lists the same sequence under 17 other names. The record is from RNAcentral.